Molecule: long non-coding RNA, 1080 nt
Filed under: Numida meleagris (helmeted guineafowl)
Lineage: Eukaryota; Metazoa; Chordata; Aves; Galliformes; Numididae
Description: lncRNA (ENSNMEG00000018483.1)
Source: RNAcentral
CUCCUCCCCCGGCACCAAUUCAAACCAGGGAUCCCCAAUGCGGAGGGGGGCACCUGCCCUGAUCCUUGUGUGGUUCCUCCCUGCUCCUGCUAAUCCAGACUAACAACUGCUGUUGCUAACAGCAUGAGAGUGAAUCCAGACUGUGUUGUGGUGUGAGGGCAGGAGGCCUGUGCCCGCAGGGCUGCAGCAGCCACACAAGCCAUGAGCAGACUGAGCCCCUGGGCGGUGUGGGGCUCUGGGUGUGGGAUGGGCAGACAGCUGUCUGUCUGCUGCUGACUCCGUUAGGUAAAGGUAAAGGAAUUCAAAUGUUCGUAGCUUCAAUAAAUCCUUUAGAGAUUCCCCAAUAUUCAGAUUUUAACAGUUAAUGCUUCAGUGUAAAGAUUUUACUCUUCAGUCUGCUGAAGGAACAUCCAUAUCAAAGAAGCCUUCUCACAUGAAAUAGACCUAAUUUUAUCCUAGCCUUAAACAAAACUAAAUAAAUAUUGAGUUUCAGGGUCUGCAAUGAACGGUUGAGGACCCCACAACGGAUCCUGCAGUGGCUGGUGCCAGGACCUCGGUGGACACUGGGUUAAGGCAAGCAAGAACCUGCGCUCCUUUGGAAGGCCAGCAUGCAAACAGCAAGACACAAAGCUGGGUUUGCAGAAGUCAGUGAAUAAAGGAAGACAAAUAAGUAAAUAAAUAAAUAAGUUGCGGUGAUUGUAAAUAGGAUGCCCACAGUGAUAGGAACCCUAGGCUGGAGUCGUCGUGCUGGAGAAAAUAAUUGUAUUUUGGUGUUCAAGGACUCUUGCUUCCGGUCAGUGGUUACCUGGCGUGACUUAGGUAGGAGUCUAACUUUUGCAAUUGUCAUUUCUUCAGACAUUUGACUGGAGAAACAGCAGCAAAGCUACUUGUCCCAGAGAGCAGCGCCUGGUAAGUACAGUCUCAGCAUUGGUGGGGUAUAAUAAUUAGGGAAAUCAAAUUAAGAAGACUUUUUGACCGCAAGGGAACACAGUGGAGAUGGAAAAUAAUGUAUGGAAGAUGAGGCAGGACAUACUGCAAAAUUGUUACUUCUGUCUUCAAACUGUGAAGUUGCACUUUGCG